GAUGAAGAACGCAGCGAAAUGCGAUACGUAAUGUGAAUUGCAGAAUUCAGUGAAUCAUCGAGUCUUUGAACGCACAUUGCGCCCCCUGGUAUUCCGGGGGGCAUGCCUGUCCGAGCGUCAUUGCUGCCCUCAAGCACGGCUUGUGUGUUGGGCCUCCGUCCUCCUCCCGGGGGACGGGCCCGAAAGGCAGCGGCGGCACCGCGUCCGGUCCUCGAGCGUAUGGGGCUUCGUCACCCGCUCUUGUAGGCCCGGCCGGCGCUUGCCGACACAUCAAUCUUUUUUCCAGGUUGACCUCGGAUCAGGUAGGGAUACCCGCUGAACUUAAGCAUAUCAAUAAGCGGAAGGA
This 346-nucleotide unclassified non-coding RNA is filed under the name soil metagenome. RNAcentral describes it as "partial contains 5.8S ribosomal RNA, internal transcribed spacer 2, and large subunit ribosomal RNA". The stretch from base 1 to 120 matches the Rfam family "5.8S ribosomal RNA", at positions 35 to 154 of the family's 154-position model. The record is from RNAcentral.